Molecule: small nuclear RNA, 280 nt
Filed under: Microtus ochrogaster (prairie vole)
Lineage: Eukaryota; Metazoa; Chordata; Mammalia; Rodentia; Cricetidae
Description: 7SK RNA (ENSMOCG00000006272.1)
Rfam family: 7SK RNA
About the family: 7SK was discovered as an abundant small nuclear RNA in the mid-70s but a possible function has only recently been suggested.
Source: Rfam by way of RNAcentral
GGAGAUCGGGCACCAUCACUGUCACCCCCACUAACUGUUAGGGUUUGUUCACAUGAUCUGGCUGGCUAGUCUCCUUUUCCAUAUGUGUUCUUCCUGAAGCUGCACACUUAGUCAAGGUGGAUGACCUUUCUUUGCUUAAGUAUAUAUACCUGUAGCUGUGCUCUCCAGGGAGAUGCUCCAAACAAGCUCUUAAGGUCCAAACGCGCACACAUACCAGUAUGCCUAUAGUUAUGGAAGGUAGAGCUCUUGGGAGUGUAAAUAACCUGUUUUACAUUUUCCU